RNAcentral lists this ribosomal RNA (446 nucleotides) under uncultured bacterium. RNAcentral describes it as "partial 16S ribosomal RNA". It matches the Rfam family "Bacterial small subunit ribosomal RNA", at positions 338 to 795 of the family's 1533-position model. The record is from RNAcentral.
CCUACGGGCGGCAGCAGUCGAGAAUCAUUCACAAUGGGGGAAACCCUGAUGGUGCGACGCCGCGUGGGGGAAUGAAGGUCUUCGGAUUGUAAACCUCUGUCAUGUGGGAGCAAAUUAAAAAGAUAGUACCACAAGAGGAAGAGACGGCUAACUCGGUGCCAGCAGCCGCGGUACUACAGAGGUCUCAAGCGUUGUUCGGAAUCACUGGGCGUAAAGCGUGCGUAGGCUGUUUCGUAAGUCGUGUGUGAAAGGCUGGGGCUCAACCCGCGAACGGCACAUGAUACUGCGAGACUAGAGUAAUGGAGGGGGAACCGGAAUUCUCGGUGUAGCAGUGAAAUGCGUAGAUAUCGAGAGGAACACUCGUGGCGAAGGCGGGUUCCUGGACAUUAACUGACGCUGAGGCACGAAGGCCAGGGGAGCGAAAGGGAUUAGAUACCCGUGUAGUC